Molecule: ribosomal RNA, 445 nt
Filed under: uncultured bacterium
Lineage: Bacteria
Description: SSU rRNA
Rfam family: Bacterial small subunit ribosomal RNA
Source: RNAcentral
AGAACGAACGCUGGCGGCACGCCUAACACAUGCAAGUCGAGCGCCCAGCAAUGGGAGCGGCGGACGGGUGAGUAACACGUGGGAACAUGCCUUUCGGUACGGAACAACUGCGGGAAACUGCAGCUAAUGCCGUAUACGCCCUUACGGGGAAAGAUUUAUCGCCGAAAGAUUGGCCCGCGUCUGAUUAGCUAGUUGGUGAGGUAACGGCUCACCAAGGCUUCGAUCAGUAGCUGGUUUGAGAGAACGACCAGCCACAUUGGGACUGAGACACGGCCCAAACUCCUACGGGAGGCAGCAGUGGGGAAUCUUGGACAAUGGGGGAAACCCUGAUCCAGCGAUGCCGCGUGAGUGAUGAAGGCCUUCGGGUUGUAAAACUCUUUCGACGGGGACGAGUAAUGACGGUACCGUAGAAGAAGCUCCGGCUAACUUCGUGCCAGCGAGCCGC